GUGCUCGCUUUGGCAGCACAUACACUAAAACAGGAAUGACACCGAGAUUAACAUGGCUCCUGUGUGAGGAUGACCCGCAAAUUCAUGAAGCGUUCCAUAUUUCU
Molecule: small nuclear RNA, 104 nt
Organism: Molossus molossus (Pallas's mastiff bat)
Lineage: Eukaryota; Metazoa; Chordata; Mammalia; Chiroptera; Molossidae
Source: RefSeq, a predicted model, not a curated record